RNAcentral lists this ribosomal RNA (1233 nucleotides) under metagenome. RNAcentral's name for it is "bacterial SSU rRNA". It matches the Rfam family "Bacterial small subunit ribosomal RNA", at positions 277 to 1498 of the family's 1533-position model. The record is from RNAcentral.
UGAUGGAUAGCUGGCCUGAGAGGGUGGUCGGCCACAUUGGGACUGAGACACUGCCCAAACUCCUACGGGAGGCUGCAGUCGAGGAUAUUUCGCAAUGGGGGAAACCCUGACGAUGCGACGCCGCGUGAGGGAUGAAGGCCUUCGGGUUGUAAACCUCUGUGUUAUGGGAAGAAACGUAAGUUAGUGAAAGCUAUCUUAUCUGACUGUACCAUGAUAGAAAGCCCCAGCAAACUGCGUGCCAGCAGCUGCGGUAACACGUAGGGGGCUAGCGUUGUCCGGAAUCAUUGGGCGUAAAGGGUGUGUAGGUGGCCGUGUAAGUCUUAUGUGAAAUUGCUGGGCUCAACCGAGCAACUGCAUUUGAUACUACAUGGCUUGAGUACAGGAGAGGGAAGUGGAAUGGGUAGUGUAACGGUGAAAUGUGUAGAUAUUAUCCAGAACACCAGUGGCGAAGGCGGCUUCCUAGCCUGAUACUGACGCUGAGGCACGAAAGCCAGGGUAGCGAACGGGAUUAGAUACCCCGGUAGUCCUGGCCGUAAACGAUGGGCACUAAGUGUAGGAGGUAUCGACCCCUCCUGUGCUGUAGCUAACGCAUUAAGUGCCCCGCCUGGGGAGUACGGCCGCAAGGCUAAAACUCAAGGUAAUUGACGGGGACCCGCACAAGCGGUGGAGCAUGUCGCUCAAUUCGAAGCAACGCGAAGAACCUUAUCCAGGGCUUGACAUCCUCUGACCACCAUAGAAAUAUGGUUUUUCCUUCGGGAACAGAGUGACAGGUGCUGCAUGGCUGUCGUCAGCUCGUGUCGUGAGAUGUUGGGUUAAGUCCCGCAACGAGCGCAACCCUUGCUCUUAGUUGCCAGCGGGUAAUGCCGGGGACUCUAAGAGGACUGCCUGCGACGAGCAGGAGGAAGGUGGGGAUGACGUCAAGUCCGCAUGGCCCUUAAGCUCUGGGCUGCACACGUGCUACAAUGGCCGGUACAACGGGAGUUGAAACCGUGAGGUGGAACGAAUCCCUAAAAACCGGCCCCAGUUCGGAUUGUAGUCUGCAACUCGACUACAUGAAGUUGGAAUCGCUAGUAAUCGCGGAUCAGCAGGUCGCGGUGAAUACGUUCCCGGGUCUUGUACACACCGCCCGUCACGCCAUGAAAGCCGGUAAUAUCCGAAGCCGGCGGGCUAACCCGCAGGGGGGGCAGUCGUCGAAGAUAAGAUCGGUAAUUGGGGCGAAGUCGUAACAAGGUA